CCUACGGGUGGCAGCAGUGGGGAAUAUUGGGCAAUGGGCGCAAGCCUGACCCAGCAACGCCGCGUGAAGGAAGAAGGCUUUCGGGUUGUAAACUUCUUUUGACAGGGAAGAGCAGAAGACGGUACCUGUCGAAUAAGCCACGGCUAACUACGUGACAGCAGCCGCGGUAAUACGUAGGUGGCAAGCGUUGUCCGGAUUUACGGGGUGUAAAGGGCGUGUAGCCGGGCUGACAAGUCAGAUGUGAAAUCCGGGGGCUCAACCCCCGAACUGCAUUGGAAACUGUUGGUCUUGAGUAUCGGAGCGGCCGGCGGAAUUCCUAGUGUAGCGGUGACAUGCGUAGAUAUUAGGCGGAACACCAGUGGCGCAGGCGGCCUGCUGGACGACAACUGACGGUGAGGCGC
Molecule: ribosomal RNA, 401 nt
Filed under: uncultured bacterium
Lineage: Bacteria
Description: partial 16S ribosomal RNA
Rfam family: Bacterial small subunit ribosomal RNA
Source: RNAcentral